AGUCGAGGGGCAUCAUGAGGUAGCAAUACCUUGAUGGCGACCGGCGCACGGGUGAGUAACGCGUAUGCAACCUGCCCGAUACCGGGGUAUAGCCCAUGAAAACGUGGAUUAACACCCCAUAGUACUUUUAUCCUGCCUGGGAUGGGAGUUAAAUGUUCAAGGUAUCGGAUGGGCAUGCGUCCUAUUAGUUAGUUGGCGGGGUAACAGCCCACCAAGACGAUGAUAGGUAGGGGUUCUGAGAGGAAGGUCCCCCACAUUGGAACUGAGACACGGUCCAAACUCCUACGGGAGGCAGCAGUGAGGAAUAUUGGUCAAUGGACGUAAGUCUGAACCAGCCAAGUCGCGUGAGGGAAGACUGCCCUAUGGGUUGUAAACCUCUUUUAUAAGGGAAGAAUAAGUUCUACGUGUAGAAUGAUGCCUGUACCUUAUGAAUAAGCAUCGGCUAACUCCGUGCCAGCAGCCGCGGUAAUACGGAGGAUGCGAGCGUUAUCCGGAUUUAUUGGGUUUAA
Molecule: ribosomal RNA, 509 nt
Filed under: uncultured bacterium
Lineage: Bacteria
Description: bacterial SSU rRNA
Rfam family: Bacterial small subunit ribosomal RNA
Source: RNAcentral